Molecule: long non-coding RNA, 3077 nt
Organism: Labrus mixtus (cuckoo wrasse)
Lineage: Eukaryota; Metazoa; Chordata; Actinopteri; Labriformes; Labridae
Exons: 2
Source: RefSeq, a predicted model, not a curated record
GCCACCAGCACCCCUAAAACACAGGAGGUAUUUUAUGUAGGCUUUGUUUCACUGCUCUAGUGCUCUUUUCAAGUAAGAGUGACCAUUCAGUCCUUCCUGAUCCUCUUACAUCUACAAAGCUUAAAAUACAACCAACAGAAACAUCAAAUCAACCUCAAAGACUUUCCUCUCCACAUUCUCCUUAAAGCGUCUGUGAUUGUAAAUGACUUGCUGUGAUCGCUGCAGCAAGCAAAAAGAGUUUAUUAGUAUGAUCACGUGUACACUCAUGCAAACUUGCACUGUUGCCGAUUGCGUUUAGUUCUCUCUUUGCCCCCUGACACUUUUCCUGCUUCCGAAAUUUAAAAAACAGUUUUUAUUGCAGCGGAGAAAGCUGGGAGGGUCAGACGGUAAUGCAUCUCAUUUCCCAGUCUCCACCAAAAUUGAAUUGACAUUGUGAAAUGUCAGCAUGUGUGACAGUGUCGGGAACGCUGCUGAAAAUGUCAACAAGUACAGGUUCAAAGAGAGAGGAGGCUUGUUUAAAAACCAAAUGGCAUGCAGCCCUUUACCCAAUCCUAAUAGAAACACAAUUUUUAUCGCUGCUUAAGCGAUAAAAAUUUACAUGCUGCAUUGAAUUUAUGAUGUUCUAAAAUACGCUAUAAAUUGCACCUUCAGAACCCGUGGGAAAAUAUUUUCAUAUCUCCUCAGAUGCUCGGUGAUUUGGCUUUCAUUUAACUGCAGUGUGAUUGUCUCUACCCUUUUCUCCUCUGCUAAGAUCUGCGAGUACAUUUCAGGAAGGAUGCAGCGAAUUAGUACUUAACGUCAAAUCCUCCGACUCACAUGUAGCUGUGUGAAAGCAGAGUGACUCAGAGAGGAAAUGCUUAAUACUCUGCACAGCUGUUGUGUUUUAACACCUUUUAACAUAACAUCAACAUAUAUUAGUGAAUGUGAUGUGUGGAGGGAAUCCAAAAGCCUCCUAUUUGAAUGAAAACUACAUUCAUCACAUCCCUUUCUGUUAAUCCAAAGCCUUUAAUUUCUCUGAGAAAAGGAACACUAUUUUCAUACUUGUUCUUGUCAUACCAAACACAUCUUCAGUCAAACAUUGUCUCUGCUCUGUGAGAGAAAUGUUCAACCUUAAUCUGAAGCCAUACAGCCUUUAGAAGAACCUGUUUCAUUGUGUGCAUAGAUUAUACUGUCAUCUGCAUACACAUGAUUUUUGCCUUUACAUUGUCAUGGCUUGUGUCUUAAUGUUCGCACUAAAGAGCAGAUUUGUUUCGAGUCAUUGCUGAUGUUUUCAUUGAAUGUGUUGGACUCAAAAUGUCGACAUGUUGCUUCACCAGCAUCAACUGCAGCUUUAACUUUUAUCUCUGCUUUUUUUUUUGCUUUACACACUUGUGCUUUAUUUGUUGAACUACACUACUGUAAUUUAUUGUAGUUUUUUACUUUACAGGGACUUCUGUCCCUUGCUUUUAUGAUCAAGUGCUUUAUGUGCAUCAUGUGCAUUGCUUCACUUCAUGUGCUUUACAGAAGUUACUGUAAGACUUCACUGUUGUUUUUUUAAAUCAUCUCAUGUUUACUUUAAACUGCACUCGGAGGCAUUUGUCACCCAAACGUUACACUGUGGAAAAGAGACUCAAGGAGAAAGAGGCUGAAUGAACUUCUACAAACAAUAAUCAGAACAGCUUAUGAGCUUUGUUCUCAAACUCAGCGCUCCUUAUGUUAGACUGUUCUCUCUGGGAAAAGUUAGGAGAAAGCAUCAAUUACAUUCAGAUCUCUUUAUUUAAAGGGACAAAGUGUUGUUUUUGCACGUUUCAGGUUCUUACUUGUGUACUUCUUACUCUGUUAAACAGACAGAAAUGGUUCCCAUUCGUUCACUGAAGCAGAAUGUCAUAAAGUCUCUAAACUGGUGUCGAUCAGGUCAGCUUUUAGAUAAAAAAACAUUUCAAAGAGUUUUUAAAAUCAUUUUGUUUCUUGGUUUUCAUGUCAAUUAUUUCUUUUCCAAAGUAUUUUCAAUUAAAAUGAAAUAUUCAUUGCUUUGUAUACAGGGGGGCGUCAAAAACGGCACAAACUUAGUUUGAAUCAGAAGUUUUAAAAAGAAAAAUUACGAAGUUCAGUUUGAACUGUCGGAACAAUUACAAAAAAACAAGAACUGUUUCGAUGUACAUUCAGGCAAAAUGUUUUAAAAUGACCGAAAUAUUAAAACCUAAAGCGUCAUGAAAGACUUUAACUCAAACAAUUGGAAAUAAAUGGUUGCUGAAAAACACUGAAACACGAUGAUUGACACUACAGAAUGUUUAAAAAGACUAAUUUGGUUACUGCAUGAUUUCUACUAUAUGAACUAAAAUAUGCAAAAACACUGCUAUGUUCCUUUAAAUACUGAACCAGCCUAGAGGUGCUAACGGUUACAUUGUUAACCACACUGUUAAAUUGCACAGGUAGUAACUACAGUGUGACACUCAAACAUCAUCACCAUUAUGACCUCACGGUGUCAUCACUCCACCACCAAAGAAGUCUUCCCCCUCCUUUGUUCACAUCAUCGUUCUCAGUUAGCCUGAUCUCCACCCUCCUGUCCUCCGUCAUCUUUCACCACAGUGAGCACUUUAACAAAGCUGUACCUUUAUCUCUAACACCCACGUCGGACAGCAAUAAGUGGCUUUAAUGCAGUGUGCAUGGUGCAUCAGGUGACACCUCACAGGGAAGAGGAAUGUACUUUAUUAACAGAGAAGGGUUGAGGUGUUUUUACCUGCAGUGAAUGCCAUGACAAGAUGGAAAGUUUGAUUCUAUUUCUCCAUGUUUUUUUUUUUUUCAUGUGUUUGUUGAAUUUAUGUGUCAGUCAAUUGUUUGCAAAUUUAAACUUUGCAAUAAUUUAGAUUUUUAUUUGAUAUACACAUAAAUGGGAAUUUAUUAGAUAUUUAAAGAAACAUGUAUUAGAAAUGUAUUAUCUGUACAAAUCAGUACCUGGAAGAUAACAAGUGUGCACUUUGUCCUUGAUUAACCUUUAGCUUUCAUCAUUCCACUAACUGUAACGGUGACCAGAGAACAACCAGAGGUGAAAACACGUCAGAUACUAUAUUCCAGAUUAAAGUUUUACUUUAUAGCUA